Long non-coding RNA from Bombina bombina (fire-bellied toad), 543 nucleotides. RefSeq lists it as uncharacterized. The record is from RefSeq and is a predicted model, not a curated record. Lineage: Eukaryota; Metazoa; Chordata; Amphibia; Anura; Bombinatoridae. The transcript has 4 exons.
CAGAUCUGGAUGUUGGUGCUGGAUCCUCAAGACAGGGCUUGUCACAGUAUGAGAGAGUUGGUGUGGGGAGCCCAGAGGAAUCCAGCACCGACGCAGAGAUGCCCUUGCGGUCUUCUGAGAUUGAUUUAACAUGUGAGACGGAGGAGGAAGAGACUCCCUUGAAGUAGGAUGAUGGAUCCUCCGCUUCUGGUCAUCAUUGUUCCUCCCCUGCCCAGUCCCCUGGCCAGCCCCCUGCCCAGCCCCUGCCCAGCCCCUGCCCAGUCCCCUGCCCAGUCCCCUGCCCAGCCCCCUGCCCAGCCCCUUGCCCAGCCCGGCCCUUCCCAUUUGUCCUGUUCUAUACCUCCAAAAAAACACCCCUUCGUCCCCCUUCACCGCUCUCCCUGUCUUUUGGCCUGUACAGCUACCCCAGCUGCCCUGCCCCCAACUCACCACUCCCCAGCUGUACGGGCUACCCCAGAGCAGCAGCCCAUCCCUCCCCAACCCAAUCCCAUCCCUCCCCAACCCGAUACCAUCCCUCCACAACCCAAUCCCAUCCCUCCACAA